GGCUGUGAACUUCUGAAAAGAAAAAUGACAACAGAAAGCCGAAAACUCCCAGUCUCUAGAGGAUUGAGAAGAUUGAAACGAAGCAACUUCAUCUUCCUCUGGAAAGACUGGAAGAUCAGUCAGAAAACUUGCCUCCAGAUCUGCCCUAUCAGGUUCACUGCUGCGCAUCACCUUAAGUGGCGAAGGUGGCAUUCACUCCUUCUGAGAGCUCUCCGUGCAUGCUGGCUGUGCUCCUCAGCCAAGCACCACAGAAGUUCCUUGUGUAUGGUAUUUGGUCUUGACAACCCUUCCAAAAAAGGUUUCGCCACCCUCACUCAGAUUCUGGGGGAUGUAGAUGCCUUCCCUUCAUGGUGUGCUGGCAAGUGCUAAGCAUCGGGAAGAAAGCUCUUUUCACGGAAGCUCAGCAUCCCACACCUCCUCCACCCUGUGUAAGCUCUGUACAAGCACACGUACAAAGCUUUCAUCUGAGAUGAUGGACACUGGCAAGGUCUUCCAGGGGACUCUGCUGGAGGCUGAAGAUUUGGGUCUCUGGAAUUGAGUGUCACUAUAUGCAAAGACAAGCCAACUUUUGAGAAUCUAGUCAAGAAUCCAGUGUCACAAGGUGUAAAAGGCCACGAUAAACUCAUGGGUAGAGAAAAGGAGAAGUUCGCUUGGAAGACUCUUUCAUUAGGAAAUUGGACCAGUUUGCAGCUAAGAGAAGAAUUCUGGUCCUGUGGGAUGUGAUAAGAUCACACACGCCUGGAAUAGUAAGUCAAUAUCACAAAAGAUGAGUACUAACGGCAUGAGGAAGCAGCUACACCCUGAAGUGGGAAUAGGAAAUGUAGGAUCCUUACGAGGAUAGGCUCCCUGGUCAGUCUGGAGGUCCGGAACAGCUGCCAGUGCAGUCAUCACAUCUGGAACUGGAAUUGUCCCCAGCUGAGGUUGGGGACAAGAGAAGAAUUUUGAGUGAUGCAGAGUGUGGGGUGUGAGUGCCUGACGGGAGUUUAUUGAGACUCUUGUGCUUCAAAUUAGUGCUGGUCUCAAGAGCCACAACACAGUUAUUUUUUCUAGUGGCUACUACAAGUGCUGGCUGCGGGGAAGGGUAGACAUGACUACAGUCCUUUCACAGCAGCAACUUUCUGUCCCCCUGGCUUCUUGAUUCCACUGAUUAUUCUCAAAGCAGCUUAUGUUUGUGGACCUGUAGCUCCCCACCUUUGAGCAUAGCAGAGUGGUUUAACGAGAUGCCACAUAGUGCUUUCUUCUUGCUCUGUCGCUAGAAGUUGGCCUGUCUCUUGGUAUAGGCCCCCCUCAGAGGCUUUUGGGAAGACUGAGUCAGAAGUUUCUGGAAGAUUCUAUCUUUGCUAACAUCUGGGAGAACUGAAGGUUGUUGAAGAACAGAGAGAAAGUGAGAGCACAGGCUAUUGCCAGGGAAUCUACAGGCCUCAAAAGAAGGGGGAAGGAGGAAAAGCCCCAGGCUGAGGAUGUGGCAGAGUCAAGGGAACCACAGGCAGAGCUAUCUCAGGGGGUAGGAUGUGGAGAGGAAGCCCCAAGGCACUCCUGAUGAUCAUUAUAUCAUCAACCAGACCUUGAAAGAGCCCUGCUCCCAACAGUGGCUGGAAUGCUGGCCCUAAACCAGAAGGACACUUCAUUCUGUAAUGACAGCAUCUUAGAUAAAUCACAGCCUCCGUAUGGACAUAGUAGUUAAAUGUCAGGAAGACCUGAAGAGGCACAGGUGCCUAUCCCAUAAUGUUUCCUAAUCAUGUGGUUUCUAGGAUUGCUGAGAAACACUGGGAAGGGUAAAAUGGAACCUACAGUAUUCCAUUUCUUCAUGUAAGAGUUUUUUCCUUGCAAGUAAAUAAGACAGAACUGUCUCCCUAAAAACUAACCCUAAUCUUGUGCAUCUUUGGUCCCAACUACUCAUCUCUCUAGGGGGAAAGCUAAGAGACUUCUGUCACUCCUAGAACCCAUAAUUUCCUCUCUCUAUGCAUUAUUAAGGCAAAAAGAUUAUAGCUUAUGAAAGGCAGCCCAUCAAUUUUAUAGUCCGUACAAACCACCCAUCAACGACAUAGCAUCCUGAUGAAUGAUGCUGUGAGCCCAUCUGCACUAUUAAUUUUCCCUCAGUCAAAGUGAGUUUUUAUGCUGCAUUCUAAGAAUUACAACUUUCCAGUGGGGACAUUAUUUGGGAAAGUCAUUUCAAGCGUGCCGCUUUCCUGACUCCAUGUGAAUCUACAGCUCACUGUCACCAUGGAUACCGCCUAGCUUUGCGUCUUUACCAUCUUGACAUAAUGAUAUCCACAUCUCAGAAGAGACUGUAUCCCUAACCCCAUGGGUGACUUCUGUGAGCUUGUCAGGACCCCUUGGUCCACAGUCCACAAUGGGAGAGAUAUGGACAACCUAUGAGAGGGGCUGAAAAGUUGGAGCCAGGGGAGUAGAUCUGCCCUGCUCUGUGUUCUCAUAUGGUCUAUGAGAUAAGAAAGGUUUCUAUAGUUUUUCAAUGUUGAGAAAAUGUCAGAACAUAUAUCCCCUGAACACUGAAAUGAUAGGAAAUUAAAAUGGCAUUGUCUACAAAGUGUGAUUGACACAUGUUCACCCUGUUGGUUUACCAGCUCCUGUUCGUCCCUCCCCACCCCCACUGCAAAGAUGGGAAGAUAUCCCAGAAAUCACAUGGCCUUCAAAGUUAAAAUUUUACUCUGUGACUCUUAAAAAAACAAACCACUUUUCUGUCUUGGUCUAUGCACUUGGAAUCUUCAUCCCCUGAACUCUUUGUGUGAAUAGAAAUACUAGCAAUGUGCGGUUUAAUGACAACACCUGGGGAAUUUGGUAUUUCAUUUUCAACUAAGCACUGAAAAGUUUGUAUAUGGGAGAUCACAACGCAAGAUAGAUGUGACAGGGAAGGCUCCUCCCUUUCUGAGGAUCAAUAAAUGGUGGCUAUC
Long non-coding RNA from Peromyscus californicus insignis, 2912 nucleotides. RefSeq lists it as uncharacterized. The transcript has 3 exons. Lineage: Eukaryota; Metazoa; Chordata; Mammalia; Rodentia; Cricetidae. The record is from RefSeq and is a predicted model, not a curated record.